Molecule: RNA transcript, 4286 nt
Organism: Myxocyprinus asiaticus (Chinese sucker)
Lineage: Eukaryota; Metazoa; Chordata; Actinopteri; Cypriniformes; Catostomidae
Exons: 5
Source: RefSeq, a predicted model, not a curated record
UGUGUCUGCGUGCUCAGAGGCAAAUGAAAACGACAGAACACAGGAAAUUCAAACAGAUUACAAGCACUGUUGUUUGACCGCUUUACACCGAAUUAUCUCUGCACUGAAUAAUUCCAUCCCUCUCUGCUUCUAUUACUGAAUGCUGUUGUAUCUUAUACUGUCCAACUGACAGGUUUGAAACUUUAUGUUUCACUGUGUGAAACUCUGACUAGACUGUUUCAGUACUACACUGUCAUCUGUGGUUAUCGGUCCAGUAUUUACAUUACGGCAGACAAGUAAUAUUGAACUUGCUGGAACUAUGGGAAAUUCCUUUAGCAAGCGAAGAAAAAAGAAACCUCAAGAAACUGCAGAGACUGGUAACCCAAAUGACACAGCCACAAUGUAUGGUGUCCCUAGACGAGCCUGGGGAUAUGUGGCCUGUACAUGGGGGUAAAAUGAUGACAGAUCAUGGAUUACCCUUUAUCCCCUUCAAACAUCACCUACAGAAGACAUCCUCUAUGCCUCCAUUAAUCACAGUAGUGUCAAAGCAGAAAUGCCUUUGAGAGACCUUGAGGAUAAUGAUUGUGAUUAUGCUGUUGUAAAGAUUCCUGAUGAGAUGACAAACCCGACCAAACACAAAGACAAUGAGGACUGUUCAGAUGAUUAUGUGCUCAUGGGCUGAGCAGUGCACCACUGAUAUGGCUAAAAUCAGCACAUUCCAUCGGAAUGGACAACCUGAGAUAUCUACACACAUUUUUAAAGGCCUGUUGACUUUGUAAAUGAUAUUAUAAUGAUAUUCUGUUUUUUUAAUUAUUAUUUAUUUGUGGGUUUCUAUUAUAAGGUCAGGGUUUUGUUUUUGUUCUUUUCAACGUUCUGUGACUGCAUCUACAGUAUGGGGCUAUAUAAAGCAUGUAAAGGAAUUUUUUUUGUUGUUUUGUUUUGUUUUUGGUUUUUUGCAUUUUGAUGCAUUAAAGGCUCCAUAAAAUCAGAAUUGGAGUUUUGUGGCUUUCAGUCUAUGUCUGUUAGCUUUGAGGCCAUAUAUGCUAGUGUACACCUUAAUUUGUGAAAAUCACCUUUAGCAGAUAUACACAUUUAAUAUUUACAGUAUUUUGUUUUGACAGAUUUCUGUUCUGGAAAAACUUAAAAAAAAAAAAAAAAGUGGGAGUGCAUAGUGGGAGUUCUGUCAGGAAGACUCAUAGUAGCAGUACACCAUUCAUUCAAUUCAGGCAUCAUCCAAUCAUAAUACAGCAUCUGCUUUGUAAGCUCUGCAGCUGUCUUUCAUCACUUUUUACGCGGGUUGAAGAUUUCACACUCACAUGUGAGUGAAACACACAAUCAUGGUACACGCUCUUCAAAUUUGGAUUAUUCGUUGUUUGGUUUACUCACCAUGACGUUCACACUCAGCGCAUCAGGUCGCAAUCAUCAAUAUACACAUAUCCUCUGAUUAUUCUUUUGGGGGAUCAAUUGUCAAUGCAUCUAGCUAGUGAUUGUUGGGGUUUAGGCUUUCCGCUAUCAAUGUUCUUAAUUUUCUGUUCAUCAUAUUCCUUACUACAUCAGUAUCGCUUUUCAAACAGCAAUGCUCGGUGCUCGGUGUACACCGACAUCAUGUUGAGUGAGAAGAUUGCGCAUUCUGCCAGCAUGGCGGAUGCGUCACACAGAAAGACAAGUUCAGGCUCACAUUGCUCAUCUUUUUACAACAGUGUUUGCAUGCCCGAGUAUACUCCUGCAUUGGGGAAUCAAGAUUCAAUUCAUGCGUGUUGAUAAUGCAUAGUACUUCAGUGUAUGUGGUCUGAUUAUCUUUAUCUAACUAUUGUUAAGUUAAUGUUGGUGUUUUAGACUGAUCUGCCUUUCCUCUCUGUUUCUAGUGCUUUUUUCCCUGUCUAGUGUGUUGUGUGUGUUUAUGUUUGACAGAUUGCCAUGCAGACUGGGUUUAUGUUGGUUUGACAGUUCACGUGUUGGUGCGCAGGUGUAGCCACUUAGGCAAUCAGGGCACCAGCUCAUUCUCUUUGAGUUUACUCACCUGUAUUUCAUUGUCCUGACUGUAUUUAUUCCCUCUCUAUGUUUUUCCUGUUUUUCUCUUGACCCUUUUUCUUCGUUCCAGCCCCUAUAUAGCCUCAGUGAUUAAAGCAUUAAAAACUAGUUUUUUUACAUGAGCGAUUGUCCACAUUUGUUUUUCGUUUUUCCAUUCUGAGUGCAAAUCCCAAUUUCUUCAUUUGGAAGUGCCCGUUAGAUUGCUAUUCCAUAUUCUCAUUCUGAAGUUCUCUCUGUUUUGCUAGACCAAUGUGUGGUUCCUCUGUCUGCCCUCAGCCUCCUGGGAUCAGGCGUUGACUAGGCUGAACGCUUCACGCUUGAGCCAUGUGUAUCCAAUGACCCGGACUAUUAACCUGAGUGGUCCCGUUCCUGUUGGUCACUUGUGGAUACAGGCUCUUCACUAUUUAUUUUGUUUUUCUCCUCACUCCCUCACCCCCUGGGUGUUCCUGAGCCUUCGAUAUACCUCUGCUAAUUCACACCUGCAUUUGGGUCCCGUAUCUCCGCAUUGCUUCUCAUGUUUUGCUUGUUACUCCUAACCCAUGUUAUCACAAAGAUUUUCUUCAUUUACUUCAUAAGUUUACAUCCUUCUCUCUUAAAGGGGAAGUAUCAUCUGUUGCUUUGUGCCUUUUGACACUUAGUGGUAGGCUAUUGUGCAACAACAUUACUGAAUUACUGAAAAAUCAAGGGUAUUGCACAAGCAAUACUCUGCUUUUCAAGGGCUUUGAGGCAUAGCUAAGCAUUGGUUAUGCUUUUAAUGGGUAUUGCACAACUAAUGCUUCAGCCUGAACCAAUUCAGGGUUCAGAUGUGUCAUACGCAUUGUUAUUCUUUUCAAGGGUAUUGCACAACCAAUGCCACCCUAUUCAGGGCUCAGAAACCUCCCAAGCAUUGUUUAUCCAAGUAUCAGGUACGUGCACUUUCGUGGUUAAUGUGUAUUUAGUCAUAUUCUGUGUUAUGUUUCAUACAAUUAUUUAUAUUUUUUUCAGGUUUAUCUUCACCUUCUGAAGACAUGGUUUAUAUUGUUUUUUUUUUUUUUUUUUUUUUUUGCUUUUGGGGGAUUAAAUUAAGAAGUUCUCAUUUCCUUUUGGGGUAAAUUCCUCUCCCCUGCCAUUAUCAUCUUCCGACAAGAGCUGAUAGUUCGAACAAGAAUCUUAGCACUGAACCAUAAGACGGAUCUUAUGCCAAAGGAAACUAUUCUAUCCACAUAUCCAUAAUUAUUGUCCAUUAUUCUGAGUCUUUCUGGUAGAAAUGGAACCAUAGCGGUAGUUCUGUAAGCAAGGCUCGUAGUAGCAUUACACCAUUCAAUUCAGGCAUCAUCCAAGCAUAAUCCAGUAUCUGCUUUAUAAGCUCUGCAGCUAUCUUUCAUCACUCAUUAUGCACAUUGUUUUUACUCCCCAUCCACCCCUUAACUACCAGUUUGGGUCCCGUCCUGCUGUAAGGGUAAGUUCCUCUCCCCUGCCAUCAUUGUCUUCUGGUGGGAUCUGAUGGCUCGAAUGAGAAUCUUAGCGCUGAACCGUAGGACAUGGCUUAGGACAAAGGAAACUAUUUUAUCCCCAUAUCCAUGAUUAUUCUCAGUUAUUCCAAAUAUUUCUGGUGAACUGGUAAGUGGAAGGUUGUUGGUUCAAUCCCCACAGCCAAGGCACGUAACUCCAGGUUGCUCCAGGGGGAUUGUCCCUGUAAUCAGGGCACUGUAAGUCGCUUUGGAUAAAAGCGUCUGCCAAAUGCAUAAAUGUAAAUGUAAAAUAAGACUGUCCGUCUCGCCUAGGGCGGCAAAAUGGUCAGAAACUGCCCUGGAUGUGAAGAUAUUCAGAUUAUAUACAUAGAAUAUUUUCAGAAGUAAUAGACUAAAUCAACGUUUAUGUUUUUAAGCAUUUCGUUUUUCAUCAAAUCAUCCCGCGGGCCACAUUGGAGUCCUUUGCAGGCCACAUUUGGCCGCAUGUUUGACACCUCUGGUGUAGGGAGACCGACUCAAUUUGAGUCAUUCACACAGCGUCACAGAAGUGGGCCGUCACUGCAGAACUCGUUGUAGAAGUGCGUGUGACUGCAUCAGUUUUACCGCACUAAUGAUGGCCCUGUUUAUAAUUUAUUGUUGAAAAUAUACACCUCUGGAAAACAAAUUAUGGGAUUUUUACUUUCGCAUCCAGACUGCAAUUUAAAAAAAAAGUAAAAAAUGGACGAGGCCUUUAAUAUAUUCCACUCCAACACAGGAAAUAAUUUUAUGGGGUCUUCAAAGCAAUUAUAGCCCUUUUCCAAAAUGUGUAAAUGUGUACAGUGAAUA